This 408-nucleotide ribosomal RNA is filed under the name uncultured bacterium. RNAcentral's name for it is "bacterial SSU rRNA". It matches the Rfam family "Bacterial small subunit ribosomal RNA", at positions 28 to 431 of the family's 1533-position model. The record is from RNAcentral.
GACGAACGCUGGCGGCGCGCCUAACACAUGCAAGUCGAACGAGAGAUGAGGAGCUUGCUCUUCAAAUCGAGUGGCGAACGGGUGAGUAACGCGUGAGGAACCUGCCUCAAAGAGGGGGACAACAGUUGGAAACGACUGCUAAUACCGCAUAAGCCCACGGCUCGGCAUCGAGCAGGGGGAAAAGGAGCAAUCCGCUUUGAGAUGGCCUCGCGUCCGAUUAGCUAGUUGGUGAGGUAACGGCCCACCAAGGCGACGAUCGGUAGCCGGACUGAGAGGUUGAACGGCCACAUUGGGACUGAGACACGGCCCAGACUCCUACGGGAGGCAGCAGUGGGGAAUAUUGCACAAUGGGGGAAACCCUGAUGCAGCGACGCCGCGUGGAGGAAGAAGGUCUUCGGAUUGUAAACU